Molecule: ribosomal RNA, 428 nt
Filed under: uncultured prokaryote
Description: bacterial SSU rRNA
Rfam family: Bacterial small subunit ribosomal RNA
Source: RNAcentral
UCGAGGAUCAUUCGCAAUGCGCGAAAGCGUGACGGUGCGACGCCGCGUGCAGGAUGAAGGCCUUCGGGUCGUAAACUGCUGUCAUGAGGGAACAAUGUCCGGGAUGUUAAUAACAUCUCGGGGUGAUAGUACCUCAAGAGGAAGCCACGGCUAACUCUGUGCCAGCAGCCGCGGUAAUACAGAGGCGGCGAGCGUUGUUCGGAUUUACUGGGCGUAAAGGGUGCGUAGGCGGUUAUGUGUGUCGGAUGUGAAAUCUCACAGCUCAACUGGGGAAUUGCAUUCGAAACUGGAGGGCUGGAGUACAGGAGAGGAGGGCGGAAUUCUUGGUGUAGCGGUGAAAUGCGUAGAUAUCAAGAGGAACACCGGUGGCGAAGGCGGCUCUCUGGACUGAUACUGACGCUGAGGCACGAAAGCUGGGGGAGCAAACA